Molecule: long non-coding RNA, 552 nt
Organism: Magnolia sinica
Lineage: Eukaryota; Viridiplantae; Streptophyta; Magnoliopsida; Magnoliales; Magnoliaceae
Exons: 2
Source: RefSeq, a predicted model, not a curated record
AAAAACAAAAACAAAAAACAAAACAAAGUAGAAGCAAUUUCCAGGAAAUUUCAAGAAAGAGAAAAACCAAUCUCUCAAUACUCUAUCUAAGAGGAUUAUAAAUAGCCUCUGCUCGUUCAAAAACAUGGCAUACAAAAGAAGAGAUGGCUACAAAGGGAUGUAUGCUUCUAUGCAUCCUCUUCCUUUCCACUCUUCUCAUCCCAACUGAGAUAUCAGCUCGCCAAAUCGUCCAACAUUUCCUUACUCCAGAGCACCAUCAGAUUGCUUAUCCCGCACUCAACAGCACUAAACCUGCCCCGAGCGGAACUCCUGCUGGUCAGCCGUAUCGACGUAAAUGCAAAUCGAAGUACAAUUGCCGUCAGACCCCUCCUUAAUUGCCUUCGGACCCCUCCUGAAUACAAGCAGUAUCAUAUCUAUAUAUAGAAGAUUGUAUGGUGUUUCUGUUCUGAAUGGACUUUUUAUACGAGGCCCGAAUUAUGUAUUUUGCUUUCAAUCACAAGUACUAAAGAAUAAAAUUGUAUUAAUAUAUCUUCGAUAAUGUUUGGAUUUCAA